This is a long non-coding RNA of Gopherus flavomarginatus (Mexican gopher tortoise), 590 nucleotides long. RefSeq lists it as uncharacterized. The transcript has 3 exons. The record is from RefSeq and is a predicted model, not a curated record. NCBI's taxonomy places the organism in Eukaryota, Metazoa, Chordata, Testudines, Testudinidae.
CUGAAAGAGCUAGUAGAAAAUGUGUUUCCUGAAAAUGUAGUAAGUGAAAAAAAAUGGCUAACCCCCCCCCCCCCAUAAAAACUGCAAAACAAGCACAGCUAUCCUGCAACUUCCUGUUUAGAGAUUCAGCUUCAAUAUUGAGUCAAGUUUUCCUAAUGUACCGAGAGUAUCAUACUAAAUUUGACGUCUCUGAAAUUUCAGAUCUGGGGGGAGUCUUCCUGGUUGACACCUGCACUCAAGACUAGCCUUUACAGAUGAGACUGUUAGCAACAUGUCUAUGUAUCUUGAAUAGAGAAAACUGUCUUUGGUGAUACUGAGAGAUUUGGGAACCACUUGAACCUGAAACUUUUGUCCAAGUUUUGGAGACAAAAGACUCUUCUGGGUAUGUCUCAAACACUAUUGACUAGCAUAAGGUAAACAGUGUUUUUUAAAUUUUGCGACAGUGUUUUUGUGCUUGGUUGUUGGAAAUGGAUUUCCUACUUCCAAUGCUGUGCUUCUUGUUUUUUCUUAUUUCAUCCCAGACAUAGGAAAAUUCUUUGUACCGAGACAAGCCCUGCUGAGAAUGAAGAUGGUGAAUUUUGGUAAUCGAG